Molecule: small nuclear RNA, 105 nt
Organism: Artibeus jamaicensis (Jamaican fruit-eating bat)
Lineage: Eukaryota; Metazoa; Chordata; Mammalia; Chiroptera; Phyllostomidae
Source: RefSeq, a predicted model, not a curated record
GUUCACUUCAGCAGUACAUAUACUGAAACUGGAACAAUACAGAGAACAUUAGCAUGGCCCCAGUGCAAGAAUGACAGGCAAACUCGUGAAGUGUUCCCUACUUUG